RNAcentral lists this long non-coding RNA (1919 nucleotides) under Sus scrofa (pig). RNAcentral describes it as "lncRNA (ENSSSCG00015018988.1)". The record is from RNAcentral. Lineage: Eukaryota; Metazoa; Chordata; Mammalia; Artiodactyla; Suidae.
ACCUGCUUAGAAAGAGAAUUGCUCUUAAGUAGGUUAUGCAUGUUCCUAGUAAUUAUAUUUGUACCGAGGUUUGUCUACUAAAUCUAAUUCUCCUCAUGGAGAUUGUAAAGAAAUGUUUAAAGCCAAAGCUUGCUUGCGUCACAAAUUCUGCAGUGGCAGAGUGCAAAUUAAUGACAAUUUCCUACAUUUAGAGUUGUUAUCAGGCAACCAAUGGGUCACCCGUUGCCGGCUAAGCUCUGCUACACACUUGGAGAAAGAACAAGUGGAGUGCAUGCAUUUUGCUGAAUAUACAGGUAAAAUGCAUCAAAAGCACAAACACUUAUUUCCCCCCAGGCUUAUAAGAUCUGUUCCAUGUCUGUUGCAGAAAAGAAAAAAAAAGUUUUUAUCUUUUGAUUCAUAAUUCAUGGGGUCGGUGCACUAGGUCUUUAGGACCUCAAUUGUUAAUGUUUUCUCUUUGUAAGACAGGGUUUGAGCAAAGUCAAUAUUUUAAUGUUGACGGUUAAUGCUUGCUUGACCUAAUUUGUAUAUUGCUUCCUUUCGAAACGGAGAAGACGAGAAAAAGUACCUUUCCUGAAACAAAGCUCUAGGGGGAUGAAGAUAACCGCCCCGUUCAACAUCCAGGGUCCGUUUAUCUUCGGGUUUUUAAGAAAUAUUAGAAAUAUUCACAGUGGCAAGAUAUCACUAGUGCCGUCUACAAGAUAAAUUAGAAACAAUAGUAUCUUGCCUUUGAUUUAUUACCCGGAAAAUGUAAAUGCGAUUCUAUGACUAUGACUCCAUGAGUGAAAAAUGCCAAAGGUUGUUUACUGUGAUUAUUCCAGGCUAAAAACCCUGUCCAGCGGUUCUCUCAACAGACUGGCAGCAUCACUCUCUGGAAGAAUGCGAGUCACUGCGUUUGUCUCUUUUCGCAGAGAAAUGAAUGGACCCCCAAAUUCGAGCUGCUUGGCAUCCCAACGGUCACAGAGGCAUUUGGACGGUGUGGAUACAGCUUCACGAUGUGCUCCUUGUAGAAUUCGUGGCUUAGAUUUGGAGGGACGUUUCUCCCUAUCUAGUUUUUAUUGCGAUGUCGUCGACGGGCAAGGCCGUGUUAGCUUUAGGGUUUCAGGUGUGCGGCACAGUGAUUCGCUAUACCUACGUGUGUGUCUAUUCUUCUUCAGAUUCUUUUCCCUUAUCCCUUAGUACCAAGUGUUCUCGGAGGUCGUUUUUUUCACCCUCAACUCCGUCUCUGUCACCAUCAGCUCUGUUUCCCGCGGGCUUCUGUGGACCCAAGCGGUGCCAGCUUGCGGACAGUGAUGUGGCUGUCGGGGGAGGGGGGUUGGCUUCUCCGACGCCCGCUCCCGGAUCCCAGCACAGCCCGUGUGGCUCAGGUAACAGGAGCAGGCCCUUUGGGAGAAGUUACUUGCAGAAAAACCUCAAGUGACUCGAGGCGGUAGUCUCGGUUCUUCCCAAUUCCUCCGCCCCACCCCCAAGGUCGUGACUUGGCCUUCCUGCGCAGGGAGCGGGCUCUGGGCUCUUGUCACCUCCACACCAGCAAGACUGGUCUCUGGACGAGACAACGCCUCUUCUCAUGGUGCAGGGGGCCUAGGAGAUGGAAUAUUGUCCCGAGUGACAGAGAGGGCACCCAGGGAGCUAAUCGUCUGGCUAGAAAUGGUUGAGAGCAGCUGGUGCUCAUCUGUGGGCCAGACGCCGCAGGGCAGCGUUCUCAGCCUGACCUUGACUGUGGACAUUUGGGUGGAUCAGUUCUGCCUCCGUGUCCCGGGCCAUCUGGCAUGGUGAGCGGCAUUCCCGGCCUCCACCCACCCAAUGCCAGAACCAGCCCUCCCCCUCCCAGUUGUGACAACCAGAAAUGCCUCCAGAAGCUUCUGGAUGUCCCUGGGGACGGGGGGCACUCAACCCAGCCCCGCACCGGGGCUCUAAGCGUG